RNAcentral lists this ribosomal RNA (1289 nucleotides) under metagenome. RNAcentral's name for it is "bacterial SSU rRNA". It matches the Rfam family "Bacterial small subunit ribosomal RNA", at positions 243 to 1520 of the family's 1533-position model. The record is from RNAcentral.
AGCUUGUUGGUGGGGUAAUGGCCUACCAAGGCGACGAUGGGUAGCCGGCCUGAGAGGGUGUCCGGCCACACUGGGACUGAGAUACGGCCCAGACUCCUACGGGAGGCAGCAGUCGAGAAGCUUCGGCAAUGGGCGAAAGCCUGACCGAGCGAUGCCGCGUGAGCGAAGAAGGUCCUUUGGAUUGUAAAGCUCUGUCAGAUUGGGAAGAAAACCUCGAGAUUAAUACCCUCGAGGCUUGACGGUACCAUCAGAGGAAGCACCGGCUAACUCCGUGCCAGCAGCCGCGGUAAUACGGAGGGUGCAAGCGUUGUUCGGAUUCACUGGGUAUAAAGGGUGCGCAGGCGGUUUGAUAAGUCAGAGGUGAAAUAUGUCGGCUCAACCGGCAAACGGCCCCUGAAACUGUCAAACUUGAGUCCGAGAGAGGUAGGUGGAAUUCCAGGUGUAGCGGUGAAAUGCGUAAAUAUCUGGAGGAACACCAGUGGCGAAGGCGGCCUACUGGCUCGGAACUGACGCUCAGGCACGAAAGCUAGGGGAGCGAACGGGAUUAGAUACCCCGGUAGUCCUAGCCGUAAACGAUGGCUACUAGGUGUUGGAGGAUUCUACCCCUUCAGUGCCGCAGCUAACGCAUUAAGUAGCCCACCUGGGGAGUACGAUCGCAAGGUUGAAACUCAAAGGAAUUGACGGGGGCCCGCACAAGCGGUGGAGCAUGUGGUUUAAUUCGAUGCAACGCGAAGAACCUUACCUAGGCUUGACAUGCAGGGGACAGAUGUAGAAAUACAUCCUUCUUCGGACCCCUGUACAGGUGCUGCAUGGCUGUCGUCAGCUCGUGUCGUGAAAUGUUAGGUUAAGUCCUGCAACGAGCGCAACCCCUGUCUUCAGUUGCCAUCAGGUAAUGCUGGGAACUCUGGAGAGACCGCCGGUGACAAACCGGAGGAAGGUGGGGACGACGUCAAGUCAUCAUGGCCCUUACGCCUAGGGCUACACACGUGCUACAAUGGUCGGUACAAAGGGCUGCAAUACAGCGAUGUGGAGCGAAUCCCAAAAAACCGGCCUCAGUUCGGAUUGUAGUCUGCAACUCGACUACAUGAAGUUGGAAUCGCUAGUAAUCGCGUAUCAGAACGACGCGGUGAAUACGUUCCCGGGCCUUGUACACACCGCCCGUCAAGUCAACCGAGUUGGCUGCACCCCAAGUCGCUGAGCUAACCCCUUCGGGGGAGGCAAGUGCCCAAGGUGUGGUUGGCGAGGGGGACUAAGUCGUAACAAGGUAGCCGUAUCGGAAGGUGCGGCUG